Molecule: long non-coding RNA, 2732 nt
Organism: Cygnus olor (mute swan)
Lineage: Eukaryota; Metazoa; Chordata; Aves; Anseriformes; Anatidae
Exons: 7
Source: RefSeq, a predicted model, not a curated record
CUCUUCCUGCAGGCUUGCCUCUCUGUUCGCCAGAUUGGUUGCUACCAACAAAUUCGUGCCUCUUCCAAGUCAGCAUUGUAUUCUAUGGAAAUAAUGAACACAAAGACAACAUUUCUUUCCCUGAGGAUGAGUCUGGAAUUCUUCUUUUUGCUGGAAGAUUGUGAUGUUGGAGUGGGAAGAUCUCAGUGAGAGCACUACGCAGUAGGUUAAAAUGUGGUCUGAGUUCAGCCCUGAUCGCGGCUGCAAGCAAUGAGCCUUCCCAGCAGGAUGAGCAUUGGCUGAGGUCAGCCCAGGGCAGGAGGAGAUGCCCGUGUUCACCGUUCUUCACAGCACGGCUUGGGGCAUGAUAAGCAGAUCGAGACAGAGAUUCCUGUUAUGUCAGUGGGUUGAAUCACUGAAAAAAUGAAGUUCUGCACACUUGCCUUUGCCCAGCUGAACAACCAAGGGCAAACUGCAGCUUGGUUUGGAAGCACGCUUGGCGCACGCAGCGGUGGUGACUCAUGUAUAUUCACAGCAGCAUGGCUUUGGAUCUCCUGCACCUUGUUGCUCUAAUGCCAACCCAUCCAUCAGCACAAACACCGUACUGCACGCUUUCCUCUGGACAAAAAGCAAAACUGGGAAGGCCUUGGGAACUCAAAUUUACUGCAGGCUUGAUCCGAAGCUUGCUGCAAAGAUUUCCUUUGACUGAAAUGGGUUGUGGAACUACCUAAAAAUGGCCCAGUGCAGGAUCAGAGCUAUACGAUAUGGGUAUACGUACCUUCCUAUGUGGUACAUCCCAACGUAGCAAAUCUGCCAAGGCUCCAAAUAAUAGCUCCAACUGCAAGCUGUCAGGCUCCCGAGCAGACGUCCUUGUCAACCACACCUGCGGUGGAUUGAGUCUGGUGAGCUGGGCUGUGUACCUCGGUCAGGAGCUGCAGCCAAGCAGUGUGCCAGCUGGGGGACAGUGAGGCACUUGUACACCAAAGGUGAUGGAAAUCCUACCUGCAUACAAUGCUGGAUCCCCAGCUCUUCCUGAAGGAAAGCAUCUUCCGAUCUGAAAUGAGCUGUAAACACCUGGAAAUUCAAGCAACAUCAGCAAAGCACGGUGCUGUCUUCAUGCUCAACAGAACAGAAGAGAAGCUCACUGAAGAUUCCGUCGACUGGAUCACAACAGCUCCAGGACAUUUAACUUCAAGACAUGGUCAAAUGCUUUGUCAGCACUCCUGCAUACAGUGAGUUGUAAUAUGGCCUGGCUGCCAGUUGUGCUGCUUGAGAGCUUGCUACAUGGAAGCAACAUCGCUGCCCCAUGUGGCCUGGAUGUCAGGUUAUGCUAAUUAGUCCACAGCCAGUGCUUCUUCCCAGUCCCAUGACUGCUGUUGUUUCAUUCAGAGGUGUGACAAAAGGUAUUAAGGGCAGGGUUUUGUUUUGGUUUUUCCUUAUCUCAUGGAAUUCCCUUGUUCUGUGGGUUGCAUUUCAAUUCCAAGUUUUGUCUGGAUUCAUCUUUGCAGGGGUUGCGUUAGAUCUACAGAAAGAACUGAGCAUUACAAAAUACAGAGGCAGAAUGGAGCUCUGCUUUACAGUCACAUUUGACCUAAACGACUGAGCCAAUAUAUUUUUGGUAGUUCAGGUAUCGGGUAUCAUAGAGUUCUCACAUAGGACAGGCUUGUUGGCUCUUUUUCUCAGUGUACAUGAUAAUAUAUUUAUUUUAGAAAAACACUUAGCCAGAAGGAACACAACAUGUAGUGAGAGAUAAAUUAUGCAGAUAAUGUUCUAUUAUGCACACAGAGUAGAAAGUACAAGGGACAUGAAUUUCCCCAGGGAGACACCUCUGUGAGAGGAGGCUGGGACAACACAGAAAAUAAAAUAUGGAGAAGAAGAAAAUGAAUUGGAUGUAGUCAGUUCUGGCAGAUUUUGCUUGAAGGAGGAGGAAGACUGAAUGAGCAAAAAAUUUUACUGGGGGGCAAUUCCUUCCAAAGAAGUGACUGUAUAUGGGCUGUGUCACUUAUCAAGGUCACUGCUGUAACACAUCAGGACAGGGCUUUGACCCUGCAGGUAUUUAUGAGGCUAGGAGUGGGUGACUGGAAAGUGCGAAAGGAAUCAAUAUAGAAAACAACAGGCAGCAUCUCUUCUAUCCAGCCUUUCCCUUUGCUCUGAGACAGGGAACACAACGGCUUUUUUAGCUCUAGUCUGUGGUACAUGGCCCAUUGAGGUCUGGCAGUAUCCAUUCCUGUGGAUUGUGCAGCAAUGCAAGAUCACCUCCAGCAGACAAAGCAGCCACUGGUCGUAUCAGACAUGGGCACAAAAGCCUUUCCUAGGACGGAGUAAUAAUUGUACUUGAGCAGCAGAAUGGAGAGAGUCUGAGUGGGAAAUAGCACUUCAUCAAGAACAACAAGAAGAUGGCAAGAAGAUGUUUCUCUGAAGUCCGUCUUGGUUCACCCCCACAGCCGUACCUUGUAACAGCAGGUCUUGAAACCAACAUUCGGAAUCUGUCCCUGCUGCUGCUUGCACUGAUGCUCAGUUCCACUGUGCCAGUCUGUCUGACACAUUUGUGCUUCUCCUUCACAGUGCAGCAGGCUUAAGUGGGCUAAUUAAGGGAAUAAGAAAGGCAUUAGUCACAACUGGAGACUGGACUAAUUUGCUGACGUUGGACAGGGAAUUCUGUCUCCUGGAGACCUGGCUGAUGUGAUCAGAAGAACUCACAAACGGUAUCGAACCAAAGAUUCAUUCAGGCAAGUGGUUCUCUGUUUAUUUUG